This 217-nucleotide ribosomal RNA is filed under the name uncultured microorganism. Its description in RNAcentral is "partial small subunit ribosomal RNA". It matches the Rfam family "Bacterial small subunit ribosomal RNA", at positions 524 to 740 of the family's 1533-position model. The record is from RNAcentral.
UACGAACCGUCCAAACGUUAUUCGGAUUCAUUGGGCUUAAAGGGUACGUAGGCGGCGCUUCAAGUCGGGUGUGAAAUCCCUCGGCUCAACCGAGGAACUGCGCCCGAUACUGGAGUGCUUGAGGGAGACAGAGGUAAGCGGAACUGAUGGUGGAGCGGUGAAAUGCGUUGAUAUCAUCAGGAACACCAGUGGCGAAAGCGGCUUACUGGGUCUCUUC